CCUACGGGAGGCAGCAGUGAGGAAUAUUGGUCAAUGGGCGGGAGCCUGAACCAGCCAAGCCGCGUGAGGGAAGAAGGUACAGCGUAUCGUAAACCUCUUUUGUCAGGGAACAAAGGCGGGGACUAGUCCCCGGAUGAGGGUACCUGAAGAAAAAGCAUCGGCUAACUCCGUGACAGCAGCAGCGGUAAUACGGAGGAUGGGAGCGUUAUCGGGAUGUAUUGGGUUUAAAGGGUGCGCAGGCGGCCUGUUAAGUCAGCGGUAAAAGCCCGGGGCUCAACCCCGGCGAGCCGUUGAAACUGGCGGGCUGGAGUUGGAGAGAGGUACGCGGAAUGCGCGGUGUAGCGGUGAAAUGCUUAGAUAGCGCGCAGAACCCCGAUUGCGAAGGCAGCGUACCGGCUCCACACUGACGCUGAGGCACGAAAGCGUGGGUAUCGAACAGGAUUAGAUACCCCAGUAGUC
Molecule: ribosomal RNA, 459 nt
Filed under: uncultured bacterium
Lineage: Bacteria
Description: partial 16S ribosomal RNA
Rfam family: Bacterial small subunit ribosomal RNA
Source: RNAcentral